UGGGGAAUAUUGCACAAUGGGCGCGAAGCCUGAUGCAGCCAUGCCGCGUGUGUGAAGAAGGCCUUCGGGUUGUAAAGCACUUUUCAGUAAGGAGGAAAAGGUUAAGUGUUAAUAGCACUUAGCUGUGACGUUACUUAAAGAAGAGGCACCGGCGUAACUCCGUCGCGC
RNAcentral lists this ribosomal RNA (168 nucleotides) under uncultured Pseudoalteromonas sp. RNAcentral's name for it is "partial 16S ribosomal RNA". It matches the Rfam family "Bacterial small subunit ribosomal RNA", at positions 355 to 512 of the family's 1533-position model. Lineage: Bacteria; Pseudomonadati; Pseudomonadota; Gammaproteobacteria; Alteromonadales; Pseudoalteromonadaceae. The record is from RNAcentral.